CGCACAAAUUCUUGUGGAUUUAAUUUCUUCUUUCACAUUAUAUUUAAUGUUAGAUGUUUCAGAAGGCAAUUGAUAUAUUGGAAACUAGGAAAGAAGCCUUACAGUAUUUGCGUAACAUCCAACACUACACAAUGUCAUAUCGUGUACUCGCCCCAGACACAGGGAUUAACCUUCAAAGGUUUAUCAAAUGGAAUUUCGGGAGAACCUGGCUGUUUUAGAACGUUUAAAAGUAAUGGCAAGUCUUCGGCAUAUCGUGUUAAUGGUCCUAGUGUAAAAUACUCUUCAAACUGCGGAUCCAAACUGUCAGGUAUAUGUCCUAGAAGCAAAAAUGUAUGCAAAAGUGGUAGCCGCAAAGAGCCCGCUAUGUCUGAACCAACGCCCAUUAUGGAUGCCGCGGCCGAAAUUAGCGCAGCCUGGAAACAGCAAAGGUA
This is a long non-coding RNA of Papilio xuthus (Asian swallowtail), 431 nucleotides long. RefSeq lists it as uncharacterized. The transcript is spliced from 3 exons. NCBI's taxonomy places the organism in Eukaryota, Metazoa, Arthropoda, Insecta, Lepidoptera, Papilionidae. The record is from RefSeq and is a predicted model, not a curated record.